This 425-nucleotide ribosomal RNA is filed under the name uncultured bacterium. Its description in RNAcentral is "partial 16S ribosomal RNA". It matches the Rfam family "Bacterial small subunit ribosomal RNA", at positions 354 to 796 of the family's 1533-position model. The record is from RNAcentral.
GUUAGGAAUAUUGGACAAUGGGCGCAAGCCUGAUCCAGCCAUGCCGCGUGAGUGAUGAAGGCCUUCGGGUUGUAAAGCUCUUUAGCCGAUGAUUAUAAUGACUGUAGUCGGAAAAUAAGCCCCGGCUAACUUCGUGCCAGCAGCCGCGGUAAUACGAAGGGGGCGAGCGUUAUUCGGAAUCACUGGGCGUAAAGCGUGCGUAGGCUGCUUUGCAAGUUGGGAGUGAAAGCCCAGGGCUCAACCCUGGAAUUGCUCUCAAAACUGCAAGGCUCGAAUUCGGGAGAGGAUAGCGGAAUUGUCAGUGUAGCAGUGAAAUGCGUAGAUAUUGACAGGAACACCAGUGGCGUAAGCGGCUAUCUGGACCGAUAUUGACGCUGAGGCACGAAAGCGUGGGGAUCAAACAGGAUUAGAAACCCGAGUAGUCC